AAGGAAUAUUGGACAAUGGGCGAAAGCCUGAUCCAGCCAUGCCGCGUGCAGGAAGAAGGCGCUAUGCGUCGUAAACUGCUUUUACACCGGAGAAAACCCCCUUUCGUGAAAGGGGCUGAUAGUAUGGUGAGAAUAAGCAUCGGCUAACUUCGUGCCAGCAGCCGCGGUAAGACGAAGGAUGCAAGCGUUAUCCGGAUUCAUUGGGUUUAAAGGGAGCGUAGGCGGUCUUAUAAGUCAGUGGUGAAAUCUCCUCGCUUAACGAGGAAACUGCCAUUGAUACUGUAGGACUUGAGUAUAGUUGCUGUGGGCGGAAUAUGACAUGUAGUGGUGAAAUACUUAGAGAUGUCAUAGAACACCGAUUGCGAAGGCAGCUCACAAAACUAUAACUGACGCUGAGGCUCGAAAGUGCGGGGAUCAAAC
RNAcentral lists this ribosomal RNA (420 nucleotides) under uncultured bacterium. RNAcentral's name for it is "bacterial SSU rRNA". It matches the Rfam family "Bacterial small subunit ribosomal RNA", at positions 356 to 773 of the family's 1533-position model. The record is from RNAcentral.